CUUACAAUCAUUCAGAGCCCUAUGAUUUAUCAGGGUGAUGGACUGCCUUUUGCAUAAUGAGCCUGCGAGUUGUGAUGUCUGGCGAGGUUAAGGAAACCCGGAGCCGUAGCGAAAGCGAGUCUUAAUAGGGCGUUUAGUCAGACGUUGCAGACCCGAAACGAUGUGAUCUAUCCAUGAGCAGGUUGAAACCGGUGUAAGAGCCGGUGGAGGACCGAACCCGCUAGCGUUGAAAAGCUAUGGGAUGACUUGUGGAUAGGGGUGAAAGGCCAAUCAAACAUCGUGAUAGCUGGUUCUCUCCGAAAUAUAUUUAGGUAUAGCGUCAUGUAGUAACACUAGGGGGUAGAGCACUGAAUGGGCUAGGGCAUACACCAAUGUACCAAACCCUAUCAAACUCCGAAUACCUAGUGUGUAAUCAUGGCAGUCAGGCGGCGAGUGAUAAAAUCCGUCGUCGAGAGGGGAACAACCCAGACUAACAGCUAAGGUCCCUAAAUCUCAUUUAAGUGGAAAACGAUGUGGAGUUACUUAAACAACCAGGAGGUUGGCUUAGAAGCAGCCAUCCUUUAAAGAAAGCGUAAUAGCUCACUGGUCUAGUGAUUCUGCGCGGAAAAUAUAACGGGGCUAAAAUGAGUACCGAAGCUUUAGACUUAGUUUACUAAGUGGUAGGAGAGCGUUGUAUUUGCGUUGAAGGUAUACCGGUAAGGAGUGCUGGAGCGAAUACAAGUGAGCAUGCAGGCAUGAGUAGCGAUAAUUGGGGUGAGAAUCCCCAACGCCGUAAACCCAAGGUUUCCUACGCGAUGCUCGUCAUCGUAGGGUUAGCCGGGUCCUAAGCAAAGUCCGAAAGGGGUAUGCGAUGGAAAAUUGGUUAAUAUUCCAAUGCCAACUAUAAUGUGCGAUGGAAGGACGCUUAGAGUUAGAGGAGCCAGCGGAUGGUAGUGCUGGUCGAAAGGUGCAGGUUGGAGUUCAGGCAAAUCCGAACUCCUUUAAGCCGAGGCCUUACAGGUGCGUGAAGUUCUUCGGAAUGAAUCGUAAAUCCUUGAUACUGUCGAGCCAAGAAAAGUUUCUAAGUUUAGUUAUAGUUGCCCGUACCGUAAACCGACACAGGUGGGUGGGAUGAGUAUUCUAAGGCGCGUGGAAGAACUCUCUUCAAGGAACUCUGCAAAAUAGCACCGUAUCUUCGGUAUAAGGUGUGCCUAACUUUGUGAAGGAUUUACUCCGUAAGCAUUGAAGGUUACAACAAAGAGUCCCUCCCGACUGUUUACCAAAAACACAGCACUCUGCUAACUCGUAAGAGGAUGUAUAGGGUGUGACGCCUGCCCGGUGCUCGAAGGUUAAUUGAUGACGUUAGCUCUGCGAAGCGUUUGAUCGAAGCCCGAGUAAACGGCGGCCGUAACUAUAACGGUCCUAAGGUAGCGAAAUUCCUUGUCGAUUAAAUAUCGACCUGCAUGAAUGGCGUAACGAGAUGGGAGCUGUCUCGAAGAGGGAUCCAGUGAAAUUGUAGUGGAGGUGAAAAUUCCUCCUACCCGCGGCAAGACGGAAAGACCCCGUGGACCUUUACUACAGCUUGACACUGCUAUUGGGAUAAAAAUGUGCAGGAUAGGCGGGAGGCUUUGAUCCAUAGACGCCAGUUUAUGGUGAGCCAUUGUUGAGAUACCGCUCUUUUUUAUUCUGAUAGCUAACUAGCUUGAGUUAUCCUCAAGUAGGACAAUGUCUGGUGGGUAGUUUGACUGGGGCGGUCGCCUCCCAAAAUGUAACGGAGGCUUACAAAGGUUGGCUCAGAACGGUUGGAAAUCGUUCGUAGAGUAUAAAGGCAUAAGCCAGCUUAACUGCGAGACAUACACGUCAAGCAGAGACGAAAGUCGGUCUUAGUGAUCCGGUGGUUCUGUGUGGAAGGGCCAUCGCUCAAAGGAUAAAAGGUACCCCGGGGAUAACAGGCUGAUCUCCCCCAAGAGCUCACAUCGACGGGGAGGUUUGGCACCUCGAUGUCGGCUCAUCGCAUCCUGGGGCUGAAGUCGGUCCCAAGGGUUGGGCUGUUCGCCCAUUAAAGCGGUACGCGAGCUGGGUUCAGAACGUCGUGAGACAGUUCGGUCCCUAUCUGCCGUGGGCGCAAGAAGAUUGAGGAGAGUUGA
Molecule: ribosomal RNA, 2126 nt
Filed under: human metagenome
Description: bacterial LSU rRNA
Rfam family: Bacterial large subunit ribosomal RNA
Source: RNAcentral